Long non-coding RNA from Tachyglossus aculeatus (Australian echidna), 735 nucleotides. RefSeq lists it as uncharacterized. NCBI's taxonomy places the organism in Eukaryota, Metazoa, Chordata, Mammalia, Monotremata, Tachyglossidae. The transcript is spliced from 3 exons. The record is from RefSeq and is a predicted model, not a curated record.
UAUCACAGUAUCGCCAGUUGUGCUGUACAACACGGAAUGGAUCAAAUAGUCACCUUCUGCUGUAACAGUUUCCUGGUUCAUUUGGCAAAACAGACAUUAGAGUAAAAUCCUGUGGAAGGCAUUGUUGGUCCUUCGGGCAGACAAAAAUUUCCAUUUCAAGAUUAACACACCUUUCCCCCAGCUCACCCUGCCCUUUAGAGGCUCAGCUCAACAGAAGGGUUCAGUUUACAAAGUCCCAAGUCUGCGGGGCCAGGUGUGUACAAUUAGAUAUUCUUCUUUGCUUUGUCUCCCCAGAACAGUCAGCGAGAAAUAAAUCAAAACAAGGACACAGAGAUAUCUAUAUUUACUUUCAGGGAGCCAGUGCUAGUCUGGCUGGCAGAAUCCAGAGCAGCCAGGCCACACUACUUCUCUGGGAAGCAUCCGUCAAUGGAUGGAGGGAAAGAGGAAGGUGUUUUCUGGACCUGAGGAGCUGGACAGUCCCUGCUGGGACUAGAAUAUAUUGACUGAUCAUUGCUUUGGUCAACUGGGAUCUCUGAGUGUGGCUGGACUGAGGAUGGACUAGAAGGGACCUGGGACUCGAGGGCAUGGCUUCGUGUGCUUGGCACCUGGGAAGGCGUAACGGUGAGCAAGAUCCCAGCAGUAUGUCUGCAGAGGGCAGAAUGACCCAGACACCGAAGAGGGCAAUUUCAUCUGGGAAACACAAGUGAGGGGACUACAUGGGGUGUUUACCCAAUU